AGAGUUUGAUCAUGGCUCAGAACGAACGCUGGCGGCAGGCCUAACACAUGCAAGUCGAGCGCCCAGCAAUGGGAGCGGCGGACGGGUGAGUAACACGUGGGAAUAUGCCUUUCGGUUCGGAACAACUCAGGGAAACUUGAGCUAAUUCCGGAUACGCCCUUACGGGGAAAGAUUUAUCGCCGAAAGAUUAGCCCGCGUUGGAUUAGCUUGUUGGUGAGGUAACGGCUCACCAAGGCAACGAUCCAUAGCUGGUUUGAGAGAACGACCAGCCACACUGGGACUGAGACACGGCCCAGACUCCUACGGGAGGCAGCAGUGGGGAAUCUUGGACAAUGGAGGCAACUCUGAUCCAGCCAUGCCGCGUGAGUGAUGAAGGCCUUCGGGUUGUAAAACUCUUUUGCCAGGGAAGAUAAUGACUGUACCUGGAGAAUAAGCCCCGGCUAACUUCGUGCCAGCAGCCGCGGUAAUACGAAGGGGGCUAGCGUUGUUCGGAAUUACUGGGCGUAAAGCGCGCGCAGGCGGCUCUUCAAGUCAGGGGUGAAAGCCCAGAGCUCAACUCUGGAACUGCCUUUGAAACUGUAGAGCUUGAGUACGGGAGAGGUGAGUGGAAUUCCCAGUGUAGAGGUGAAAUUCGUAGAUAUUGGGAAGAACACCGGUGGCGAAGGCGGCUCACUGGCCCGUUUCUGACGCUCAGGCGCGACAGCGUGGGGAUCAAACAGGAUUAGAUACCCCAGUAGUCC
RNAcentral lists this ribosomal RNA (740 nucleotides) under uncultured bacterium. RNAcentral's name for it is "bacterial SSU rRNA". It matches the Rfam family "Bacterial small subunit ribosomal RNA", at positions 8 to 796 of the family's 1533-position model. The record is from RNAcentral.